Molecule: ribosomal RNA, 301 nt
Filed under: uncultured bacterium
Lineage: Bacteria
Description: partial 16S ribosomal RNA
Rfam family: Bacterial small subunit ribosomal RNA
Source: RNAcentral
CAGUAGCCGCGGGAAUACAGAGGGUGCGAGCGUUAAUCGGAUUUACUGGGCGUAAAGCGUGCGUAGGCGGCUUUUUAAGUAGGAUGUGAAAUCCCUGAGCUUAACUUAGGAAUUGCAUUCGAUACUGGGAAGCUAGAGUAUGGGAGAGGAUGGUAGAAUUCCAGGUGUAGCGGUGAAAUGCGUAGAGAUCUGGAGGAAUACCGAUGGCGAAGGCAGCCAUCUGGCCUAAUACUGACGCUGAGGUACGAAAGCAUGGGGAGCAAACAGGAUUAGAUACCCGUGUAGUCCCUGUCUCUUAUAC